GACGAACGCUGGCGGCGUGCCUAAUACAUGCAAGUAGAACGCACAGUUUAUACCGUAGCUUGCUACACCAUAGACUGUGAGUUGCGAACGGGUGAGUAACGCGUAGGUAACCUGCCUGGUAGCGGGGGAUAACUAUUGGAAACGAUAGCUAAUACCGCAUAAUAUUAAUUAUUGCAUGAUAAUUGAUUGAAAGAUGCAACUGCAUCACUACCAGAUGGACCUGCGCUGUAUUAGCUAGUAGGUGAGGUAACGGCUCACCUAGGCGACGAUACAUAGCCGACCUGAGAGGGUGAUCGGCCACACUGGGACUGAGACACGGCCCAGACUCCUACGGGAGGCAGCAGUAGGGAAUCUUCGGCAAUGGACGAAAGUCUGACCGAGCAACGCCGCGUGAGUGAAGAAGGUUUUCGGAUCGUAAAGCUCUGUUGUAAGAGAAGAACGGGUGUGAGAGUGGAAAGUUCACACUGUGACGGUAUCUUACCAGAAAGGGACGGCUAACUACGU
This 504-nucleotide ribosomal RNA is filed under the name uncultured bacterium. Its description in RNAcentral is "partial 16S ribosomal RNA". It matches the Rfam family "Bacterial small subunit ribosomal RNA", at positions 28 to 506 of the family's 1533-position model. The record is from RNAcentral.